Molecule: ribosomal RNA, 425 nt
Filed under: uncultured bacterium
Lineage: Bacteria
Description: partial 16S ribosomal RNA
Rfam family: Bacterial small subunit ribosomal RNA
Source: RNAcentral
GUGGGGAAUCUUGCGCAAUGGGCGAAAGCCUGACGCAGCCAUGCCGCGUGAAUGAUGAAGGUCUUAGGAUUGUAAAAUUCUUUCACCGGGGACGAUAAUGACGGUACCCGGAGAAGAAGCCCCGGCUAACUUCGUGCCAGCAGCCGCGGUAAUACGAAGGGGGCUAGCGUUGCUCGGAAUUACUGGGCGUAAAGGGCGCGUAGGCGGACAGUUUAGUCAGAGGUGAAAGCCCAGGGCUCAACCUUGGAAUUGCCUUUGAUACUGGCUGUCUUGAGUACGGGGGAGGUGAGUGGAACUCCGAGUGUAGAGGUGAAAUUCGUAGAUAUUCGGAAGAACACCAGUGGCGAAGGCGACUCACUGGCCCGUUACUGACGCUGAGGCGCGAAAGCGUGGGGAGCAAACAGGAUUAGAUACCCGGGUAGUCC